GUAAGUGGAGAAAUUGAUUGCAAAUACAAGAUCCUCUUUUGGAUAAUUAUAAUUUUGAACCUCUUCAUAAGUGACGCAAGUUUUCUGGACUGCUACAGCAAGAGCAUGUUCCAAAGCAAGAAGAGAAAGUUAGUGGGAUGGGACAUUGUCAGGAGACAUGGGAUGAUCUUAAUUACAUGGCAGAGGCUGCUUACAUUUUAGUGAUAAAUAGCUUCAUCUUCUCUAAAAGGUCGAACGUUGAACGUCCAGCGAAAGACGUCAACAAUCUCCGUAGUUUCUCUGAUGAUUUCGACUUCUUGUAAAUCAUAAAUCAUUUAAAUAAUAUCCCGGUUAUUCGUCUCUCCCUCUUAGGAAAGGAACUUAUACCGGUGCACGUCGUUAAAGACCUAGGCGUGACUUUUGACUCGAGCCUUACUUUUCACGAGCAUAUUGUUAAAACAGUUUCCUCCUGCUUCUCAAGUUUAGCUCAAAUUAGUCGUGUUUGACAGGUCGACCUUAUUGAUAAUAAUUAACACUUUACUGUUUGGUAAGUUAUUUUAUUGUUCCUCCGUCUGGUCCAAUGCAGCGGACACUAACCUUCUCAAGCUACAAGCGGUCCAGAAUUUUGCAGCCCGGAUUAUCUGUGGUCUCAGAAAAUUUGACCACGUGACUCCGCUUCUGAGAGAACUGCACUGGCUACCUAUUAAAUCUCAGCUAUAUCUCCGUGACGCCGUACUUGCUUUUAAAUGUUUGACCGGCUCCGCUCCCACUUAUCUCUCCUUGAAGUUUCUAACACGUGGUGAGAUAAGUGGUCGUACGACCAGAAGCUCCCAACUUCUGCAUAUACCCCUAUAUAGAACUAAAUCUGGACAAAGGACUUUCUUUUAUCGUACAGUAAGUCUAUGGAACAGUUUAGAUAACACCCUCAAACUCUGUAAUUAUUCUCGUGAUUUUAAGCGUAAACUUAGAGCCAAAUUACUUGCUGCUUUCCUUUCUCGUCGCUCUUAGUCGUAACUUUGGCGAACAUUUAGUAACAUUUUAGCUUCCUUAGUUUUUCUAUUAUACAUUUUAGUAUUGUAAUUUUGUAAUUUUUAGCUCAUUGUCACCGAAAAACCCUCUUUAGGGAGUGUCAAUAAAGUUUGUAUUGUAGAGUAUCAUAGCCAUCAAAGAAGCCAAUUUUUUUUCUCCGCACGAGAUGAAGUAAUGGAAUAGUUGUAAAUCCUAAUUGUAGAGGGUUUAUAAAAAACGUUUCAAUAAUGUAUUGUACAGCGUUAAAAAAAAAGUGAAGAUCCAUCAUACACAGUUAUAUCAUGUUUUGUGAAGAUAAAUCAAUGCUGUUCUUCACUAAAUACGAAUUAGCCUGACUUCAACACUUGGCGCAAAUAAAUUGUUUAAAAAAUAUGUACUACAAUUUUCUCCUACACGUUUUUAGGCAUGUAGUCUUUUUCAUUGCCCUUUAAAAGGAUAAUUUUUCUUUUAUCAUGUUUUCUUGGCCUGAAGAAAUGCACUGUUUAUGGGAAAAUUUAGUGAUUUUUCCGUGUGGCUUUUUAAGCAUAUUUAUUCGUUGUUUUCGUUAUUGUAGCGUUCUCAAUUCAUGCGUUUCUUUUGUUUUAAUGAUUAAAAAAAUAUAUGUAGGAAAUUCAUUGUAGUUUUUGGGAAUAAAUUUUGCAUUGUUA
Molecule: long non-coding RNA, 1655 nt
Filed under: Stylophora pistillata
Lineage: Eukaryota; Metazoa; Cnidaria; Anthozoa; Scleractinia; Pocilloporidae
Description: uncharacterized LOC111343543
Source: RNAcentral